Molecule: long non-coding RNA, 858 nt
Organism: Gopherus flavomarginatus (Mexican gopher tortoise)
Lineage: Eukaryota; Metazoa; Chordata; Testudines; Testudinidae
Exons: 3
Source: RefSeq, a predicted model, not a curated record
CAACAAGCGAUGGAUUAAUCUUGCUGCGCGCCUUGGGGCCGAGUGUGGGAAGAUGUAGCCAGGCAGUUGGCCAGGGGCGGGGAACUACUGGAGCAAGGCAGGGAUCAGCACUGAUGUUAAAAACACUCCAGGGAAUACAAUUGAUGUCACUGGCCAAAUUACUGCAGUCUUGGAAAACAGUGAUGCAGAACAGAUAUCGGAGUAGACCAACGAACCACAUUUAUUAAGGAGAAGAGCUAAACUAACCACAGGAUACAGAGUCUACAAAAUCCAGAACACAGACAAACUGCUUAACUUCAGCAGACUGUAACUCAAUACCAAUGGGAGAAGAUACUCUGAGACCUGCUCUUCCACUGCGUGACUCCAGCCUGUCCUCUCCCACUCUGCUGCUCUUUCACAUUUAAAGAUCACAACUGAGAACCUUUCUAAUGUCCAGACCCAUACUCUGAAUCUGAAUACCUGGGCUGUUCUUUCCAAAUGCUGGAACAGACAGGAGCUACAAAGCCUCAUCAUAAGUCUGUGACUGGAAGAGAGCAAUAGCAGCAAGCUGUUGAAAACCAGUGUGUGGUUUUUGUUUUUAACUACAAUUAAUAUCUUCACUGCUGAAAUGUAUGACAUCAUUCUAUGGAUGCAUGUUUGAAAACAAUGAAUUCUAGUUUACACAUUCCCCUGGGAGUUGACAUUUGGAUUUGUUUCUGAGUUGCUUAUAACACCAGUUUUCUUGUUUAGUUGUUUUUUUCCAAACAUGCUUCUCUACUGGACAAUAUAUACUAUGAUUAGAGAAUUUUCUGUUACAUUGCACAUAGCACUGGAAAGAAACAGUUUUAUAAUGUAUUCAAUUUAUAAUUAAACAAAAGC